AGCGAACGCUGGCAGCAGGCCUAACACAUGCAAGUCGAACGAACCUUUCGGGGUUAGUGGCGGACGGGUGAGUAACACGUGGGAACGUGCCUUUAGGUUCGGAAUAACUCAGGGAAACUUGUGCUAAUACCGAAUGUGCCCUUCGGGGGAAAGAUUUAUCGCCUUUAGAGCGGCCCGCGUCUGAUUAGCUAGUUGGUUGAGGUAAUGGCUCACCAAGGCGACGAUCAGUAGCUGGUCUGAGAGGAUGAUCAGCCACAUUGGGACUGAGACACGGCCCAAACUCCUACGGGAGGCAGCAGUGGGGAAUCUUGCGCAAUGGGCGAAAGCCUGACGCAGCCAUGCCGCGUGAAUGAUGAAGGUCUUAGGAUUGUAAAAUUCUUUCACCGGGGACGAUAAUGACGGUACCCGGAGAAGAAGCCCCGGCUAACUUCGUG
RNAcentral lists this ribosomal RNA (434 nucleotides) under uncultured bacterium. RNAcentral's name for it is "partial 16S ribosomal RNA". It matches the Rfam family "Bacterial small subunit ribosomal RNA", at positions 29 to 507 of the family's 1533-position model. The record is from RNAcentral.